Molecule: ribosomal RNA, 396 nt
Filed under: Allobates femoralis (brilliant-thighed poison frog)
Lineage: Eukaryota; Metazoa; Chordata; Amphibia; Anura; Aromobatidae
Also listed under: 1 other name
Description: partial 12S ribosomal RNA
Rfam family: Bacterial large subunit ribosomal RNA
Source: RNAcentral
CUUGAUCAAUUAUAAGAGGUCAAGCCUGCCCAGUGACAUUGUUCAACGGCCGCGGUAUCCUAACCGUGCGAAGGUAGCGUAAUCACUUGUCCUUUAAAUAAGGACUAGUAUGAACGGCUUCACGAAGGCUAUACUGUCUCCUUAAUCUAAUCAAUUAAACUAAUCUCCCCGUGAAGAAGCGGGGAUUCAUCUAUAAGACGAGAAGACCCUAUGGAGCUUUAAACAUCUAAGACACUUGAUUUUUACCUACUAAACUUCAUGCAACCUAUCCUUUUGUCUUAAGUUUUAGGUUGGGGUGACCACGGAGAAAAAUUAAACCUCCACGUAGAAAGAAAAUUCUUUUCUAAGCAAAAAGCCACAUCUUAACGCAUCAAUAUAUUGACUUAACUUGACCCA